Molecule: long non-coding RNA, 318 nt
Filed under: Elaeis guineensis (African oil palm)
Lineage: Eukaryota; Viridiplantae; Streptophyta; Magnoliopsida; Arecales; Arecaceae
Description: long non-coding RNA (EGUI_LNC029840)
Source: RNAcentral
GUGAGGAAGAAGAUCGUCCGAAUUUUUGAAGAUAUUUUUGUCCAAAAAAAUUAUUACAAGAUUACUAAAUAUAUGGUAAUCUGGAUAGCCACCUUUCUUUUUGAUAAUCUAGAUUACCUCAUGGGAGAUAAUUUAGAUUAUCAAUCCAAAAAACAUACCAAACGUGCUAAUUUGGUAGGACCUCUUUUAAUUGCCAGCAAUUUGGAUAGAUUGCCAGCUAUUAGAUGCAACCUAAAGAGAAGAAGGGAAGAGAAACAUGAUGGCCUUGAGCACCCGAGGGAAGAAGUGGAGAUAUUUGAACAAGAUAGAUAAGAGGCG